CCUACGGGAGGCAGCAGUGAGGAAUAUUGGUCAAUGGGCGGGAGCCUGACCCAGCCAAGCCGCGUGAGGGAAGAAGGUUCAGCGUAUCGUAAACCUCUUUUGUCAGGGAACAAAGGCGGGGACUAGUCCACGGAUGAGGGUACCUGAAGAAACAGCAUCGGCUAACUCAGUGCCAGCAGCCGCGGUAAUACGGAGGAUGCGAGCGUUAUCCGGAUUUAGUGGGGUAAGGGGGUGCGCAGGCGGCCUGUUAAGUCAGCGGUAAAAGCCCGGGGCUCAACCCCGGCGAGCCGUUGAAACUGGCGGGCUGGAGUGGUAGAGAAGUACGCGGAAUGCGCGGUGUAGCGGUGAAAUGCGUAGAUAUCGCGCAGAACCCCGAUUGCGAAGGCAGCUUACCGGCUCCACACUGACGCUGAGGCACGAAAGCGUGGGUAGCGAACAGGAUUAGAUACCCCAGUAGUC
RNAcentral lists this ribosomal RNA (459 nucleotides) under uncultured bacterium. RNAcentral's name for it is "partial 16S ribosomal RNA". It matches the Rfam family "Bacterial small subunit ribosomal RNA", at positions 338 to 795 of the family's 1533-position model. The record is from RNAcentral.